CAUGCAAGGCGAACGCUGAAACCCGACCCUUGUAUCGUGUGUAUGAGUGGCGAACGGGUGAGUAACACGUGAGUAACCUGCCCCUGACUUCGAUAUAAGCCCGGAAACUGUGUCUAUAAUACCGGAUACGACUGCCGGACGCAUGUCUGGUGGUGGAAAGUUUUUUCGGUUGGAUAUGGGCUCGCGGCCUAUCAGUUUGUUGGUGAGGUAAUGGCUCACCAAGACGACGACGGGUAGCCGGCCUGAGAGGGCGACCGGCCACACUGGGACUGAGACACGGCCCAGACUCCUACGGGAGGCAGCAGUGGGGAAUAUUGCACAAUGGGGGAAACCCUGAUGCAGCGACGCAGCGUGCGGGAUGACGGCCUUCGGGUUGUAAACCGCUUUCAGCAGGGAAGAAGCCUUCGGGUGACGGUACCUGCAGAAGAAGUACCGGCUAACUACGUGCCAGCAGCCGCGGUAAUACGUAGGGUACGAGCGUUGUCCGGAAUUAUUGGGCGUAAAGAGCUCGUAGGUGGUUGGUCACGUCUGCUGUGGAAACGCAACGCUUAACGUUGCGCGUGCAGUGGGUACGGGCUGACUAGAGUGCAGUAGGGGAGUCUGGAAUUCCUGGUGUAGCGGUGAAAUGCGCAGAUAUCAGGAGGAACACCGGUGUCGAAGGCGGGCCUCUGGACUGUAACUUACACU
RNAcentral lists this ribosomal RNA (687 nucleotides) under Brevibacterium sp. J935. RNAcentral's name for it is "bacterial SSU rRNA". It matches the Rfam family "Bacterial small subunit ribosomal RNA", at positions 54 to 747 of the family's 1533-position model. Lineage: Bacteria; Bacillati; Actinomycetota; Actinomycetes; Micrococcales; Brevibacteriaceae. The record is from RNAcentral.